AUGAGGCAAGCUGGAAAGACACUAAAGGACUAUCCAGGCAUAGAACUACCAAAUGCUACUGAACUUGAACAACUUGGGAACAGAAUGAUAAAUGAAGAACUUAGCUACGACACACAAGCACUAAAGAUUGAGCACCAAACCAUAGUUAGCAAUCUUAACUAUGGCCAGAAAAUUGCCUUUGAUGCCAUAAUGGAAUCAGCUUACAGAGGACUUGGAAAACAGAUAUUUGUAGAGGGCUACGGUGGCACAGGCAAAACUUAUCUAUGGAAAGCAAUCACAACAAAGCUACGAUCGGAGGGGAAAAUAGUGCUUGCGGUAGCAUCAUCUGGCAUUGCAGCAUUGCUCCUCCAAGGUGGAAGAACAGCGCACUCAAGAUUCCACAUUUCAAUAAAUAUCACAGAAGAAUCAACAUGUGAAAUAAAACAAGGCUCACAUUUGGCUGAACUGGUAAAGAGGACCUCACUGAUACUGUGGGACGAGGCUCCUAUGGCACACAAACACUGCUUCGAGGCACUAGACAAAAGCCUUAGGGAUAUUCUAAGGUUCCAAAACCAAAACAGUGACGAAAGGCCAUUUGGUGGCAUGACAGUUGUGCUAGGAGGCGACUUCAGACAAAUACUUCCAGCGGUUACAAAGGGAAAGAGAGAGCAGAUAGUAAAUGCCUCAGUCAAAAGGUCAUACCUAUGGAAGCACUUCGAAAUAUUUAGACCAACUGAAAACAUGCGGCUGAAGUGCCUGUCAGAAGAUCCAAUACAAAAGCAAAAUGUGGCUGAAUUUGCAUAA
This 783-nucleotide ribosomal RNA is filed under the name Triticum aestivum (bread wheat). Its description in RNAcentral is "partial small subunit ribosomal RNA". The record is from RNAcentral. Lineage: Eukaryota; Viridiplantae; Streptophyta; Magnoliopsida; Poales; Poaceae.